GAUGAACGCUGGCGGCGUGCCUAAUACAUGCAAGUCGAGCGAAGCGGGGAAGGGUGAGUACUACGAGGAUACACUCGUUUAAGACUGGGAUACCUUCGGGAAACCGGAGCUAAAUCGGAUACUUGUAGUUGGAUCCGCGCUGGAUGAGCUAGUUGGUAAGGAAACGGCGUACCAAGGCAACGAUGCAUAGCCGACCUGUGAGGGUGAUCUGCCACACUGGAACUGAGACACGGUCCAGACUCCUACGGGAGGCAGCAGUAGGGAAUCUUCCGCAAUGGGCGAAAGCCUGACGGAGCAACGCCGCGUGAGUGAUGAAGGUCUUCGGAUCGUAAAACUCUGUUAUUAGGGAAGCGGUACCUAAUCAGAAAGCCACGGCUAACUACGUGCCAGCAGCCGCGGUAAUAC
RNAcentral lists this ribosomal RNA (405 nucleotides) under uncultured bacterium. Its description in RNAcentral is "partial 16S ribosomal RNA". It matches the Rfam family "Bacterial small subunit ribosomal RNA", at positions 28 to 526 of the family's 1533-position model. The record is from RNAcentral.